AGAUUGAACGCUGGCGGCAUGCUUUACACAUGCAAGUCGAACGGUAACAGGCCGCAAGGUGCUGACGAGUGGCGAACGGGUGAGUAAUGCAUCGGAACGUGCCCAGUCGUGGGGGAUAACGCAGCGAAAGCUGUGCUAAUACCGCAUACGAUCUAUGGAUGAAAGGCGGGGACCGAAAGGCCUCGCGCGAUUGGAGCGGCCGAUGUCAGAUUAGCUA
Molecule: ribosomal RNA, 217 nt
Filed under: uncultured soil bacterium
Lineage: Bacteria
Description: partial 16S ribosomal RNA
Rfam family: Bacterial small subunit ribosomal RNA
Source: RNAcentral